RNAcentral lists this ribosomal RNA (1489 nucleotides) under uncultured bacterium. RNAcentral's name for it is "bacterial SSU rRNA". It matches the Rfam family "Bacterial small subunit ribosomal RNA". The record is from RNAcentral.
AGAGUUUGAUCCUGGCUCAGGAUGAACGCUAGCUACAGGCUUAACACAUGCAAGUCGAGGGGCAGCAUGGUCUUAGCUUGCUAAGGCCGAUGGCGACCGGCGCACGGGUGAGUAACACGUAUCCAACCUGCCGUCUACUCUUGGACAGCCUUCUGAAAGGAAGAUUAAUACAAGAUGGCAUCAUGAGUCCGCAUGUUCACAUGAUUAAAGGUAUUCCGGUAGACGAUGGGGAUGCGUUCCAUUAGAUAGUAGGCGGGGUAACGGCCCACCUAGUCUUCGAUGGAUAGGGGUUCUGAGAGGAAGGUCCCCCACAUUGGAACUGAGACACGGUCCAAACUCCUACGGGAGGCAGCAGUGAGGAAUAUUGGUCAAUGGGCGAGAGCCUGAACCAGCCAAGUAGCGUGAAGGAUGACUGCCCUAUGGGUUGUAAACUUCUUUUAUAAAGGAAUAAAGUCGGGUAUGGAUACCCGUUUGCAUGUACUUUAUGAAUAAGGAUCGGCUAACUCCGUGCCAGCAGCCGCGGUAAUACGGAGGAUCCGAGCGUUAUCCGGAUUUAUUGGGUUUAAAGGGAGCGUAGAUGGAUGUUUAAGUCAGUUGUGAAAGUUUGCGGCUCAACCGUAAAAUUGCAGUUGAUACUGGAUAUCUUGAGUGCAGUUGAGGCAGGCGGAAUUCGUGGUGUAGCGGUGAAAUGCUUAGAUAUCACGAAGAACUCCGAUUGCGAAGGCAGCCUGCUAAGCUGCAACUGACAUUGAGGCUCGAAAGUGUGGGUAUCAAACAGGAUUAGAUACCCUGGUAGUCCACACGGUAAACGAUGAAUACUCGCUGUUUGCGAUAUACUGCAAGCGGCCAAGCGAAAGCGUUAAGUAUUCCACCUGGGGAGUACGCCGGCAACGGUGAAACUCAAAGGAAUUGACGGGGGCCCGCACAAGCGGAGGAACAUGUGGUUCAAUUCGAUGAUACGCGAGGAACCUUACCCGGGCUUAAAUUGCAGAUGAAUUACGGUGAAAGCCGUAAGCCGCAAGGCAUCUGUGAAGGUGCUGCAUGGUUGUCGUCAGCUCGUGCCGUGAGGUGUCGGCUUAAGUGCCAUAACGAGCGCAACCCUUGUUGUCAGUUACUAACAGGUUCCGCUGAGGACUCUGACAAGACUGCCAUCGUAAGAUGUGAGGAAGGUGGGGAUGACGUCAAAUCAGCACGGUCCUUACGUCCGGGGCUACACACGUGUUACAAUGGGGGGUACAGAGGGCCGCUACCACGCGAGUGGAUGCCAAUCCCCAAAACCUCUCUCAGUUCGGACUGGAGUCUGCAACCCGACUCCACGAAGCUGGAUUCGCUAGUAAUCGCGCAUCAGCCACGGCGCGGUGAAUACGUUCCCGGGCCUUGUACACACCGCCCGUCAAGCCAUGGGAGCCGGGGGUACCUGAAGUGCGUAACCGCGAGGAGCGCCCUAGGGUAAAACUGGUGACUGGGGCUAAGUCGUAACAAGGUAGCC